Molecule: long non-coding RNA, 473 nt
Filed under: Brassica napus (rape)
Lineage: Eukaryota; Viridiplantae; Streptophyta; Magnoliopsida; Brassicales; Brassicaceae
Description: long non-coding RNA (BNAP_LNC026252)
Source: RNAcentral
UCUCGGCCGGGUCUACCGAGUGAGGAACAAACUCAAUCUUCGGCACAAGAAGCUCUUUGUGGACAUCUACGGACGAGGAACCACGAGAUGUACCUUUUUUCGAAGUCUUCUUCUUACUUAACAUUUUGUAGAUUUCAAAGGAAAACAAGAAGAAGAAGAUGGAGAGGAGGGGGAAAUUUUUUUUUUUUUUUUUUCAAAGAACUCCUUAUGAAAAUAAGCAAGUGAAAAAUUAUGAAGAAGUUACCUCCCUUCUUAUAAGCAUAAGAAGUUGCUAUUUGCUCGCGGACUUUUGAACAUGAUCUUCGCCCAAAUACGCCUAUCCCGUCUAACUCACCAUACCGCACGCUAGAAUCUCGUCGGAAAUCCAUGAUUCUACUAAGCUGGGGGGCAAACCGUUGGGGUUGAAAACGGUUAUGACAAAGUUAAUGUCCAAAUCUCCGUAAAGAAUCGGCGUGAACAUUUUUACCGAAGAU